GAUCAGGUGAGCAAAUACAUUUCUUUAUUGUUAUCUGCAGCUCAAACAUCCUGACCUGUACACCAACUGCUCCUGGCAUCUCUCCGUGGAGCCUAGACUUGCUCUCUGUAUCCUCAACACCAGGCCUGCUGCAGACCCAACCAAUCUCCAGGAGUUGGCAUUCUAGUAAAAGCCUAUUUGCUAUCUCUUAUAAUGUCAAGUCACCUUUUGUGCAGCUGAAAUUAAACUCAUCUGAAGGGCAAAGUAAAAGGCUUCCUUUUAAGCUUUUAAUGACUUUGGAAGAAUAUUGCUGACCACUAAGCCACAGAUCACAAAGCUUUAUGUAAUUGGAGGCUACCCACUGAAAAAUCUGGUGGCAAUAGCUAAAGAUAGGGGGCAGUUAGUAGAGCUGGAGUCUAUCUGUUGUUUAGGAAAUAUUUGUUGAUUCCCUCCCAUGUACCACACCUUGGGUAUUAUGGAGGAUACCAAACCAGGAAAACAAGGUUCUGGACUGAACAGUUGCAGGAGGAGAAGUGAUGUGAAUUCUGGGCCAUGAUAAUAUUUCAUGUUCUGCAAUGAAGGUGAUUUUUUUUUACUUUUUAUUGUAGUGUAAUGAAUAAUAUAUGCGUGGCAAAGUGCACAAAUCUUAAAUAUGCAGCUCAAUGAAUUUUUAAAAAGCAAGUACACCCAUGCACUUGGCAUUUAGGUUAAGAAACAGAACAUCAACAGAUCUCAGAAGUUUCCUUCAUUCUCCUUCCCAGCACACAACCCCUGUGGCUUUCAAACAACUGUUAUUCUCUCUGUCACCAUGGAUAAGCUUUGCCUGAUUUGAACUCUAUAUGAAUGGAAUUACACUUUGGGGUCUGGCUUCUCUUGCUCACCAUUAAUCUGAGACACAUCUUGUUGUUGGUAGUGGAUACACUUCAUCCAGUUGGUGACUGCAAUAUCUUGUUGUAUGACCACAACAUAAUUUAUUUAUUCCUUCUUCUGUUAAUGGACUUUUGGGUUGGUACAAAUAAUGGUGCUAGGAUAAUUGUUGUCCAUGUUUUUUGGUGAAAAUAAGUACACAAUGACAAACAGAAAAUCAAUAGUUUCCUAGAAUGUGUGUUUCAGGGGUAGAUGAUAGAAAUAUUUGGUGUUUUGAUGUGGCAAUGGUCAUGCAGAUGUGUACAUGCCCUAAACAUGCAUACAUGUAUUCUAUUUAUUGAUUUAUUUUGAGACAGGUCUCACUAAGUUGCAGAGGCUAGCCUCAAAUUUGCAGUCCUCCUGCCUCAGCCUCCCAAGUUGCUGGGUUACUGGUGUUCCACACUAUGCUCUGUUGGUGUAUUCUUUUUAAAAAAUAUUUAUUUUGGAUGUUGGUGGACCUUUAUUUAAUUCACUUAUUUGUAUACAGUGCUGAGAAUCAAACCCAGUGUCUCACAAAUGCUAGGUGAGUGCUCUACCACUGAGCCACAACCCUAGCCCCUCUUGUUGUAG
RNAcentral lists this long non-coding RNA (1455 nucleotides) under Marmota monax (woodchuck). Lineage: Eukaryota; Metazoa; Chordata; Mammalia; Rodentia; Sciuridae. The record is from RNAcentral.